CGGUCACCACGGUAGGAUUCAUGACUGGGGUGAAGUCGUAACAAGGUAGCCGUAUCGGAAGGUGCGGCUGGAUCACCUCCUUUC
RNAcentral lists this ribosomal RNA (84 nucleotides) under Burkholderia cepacia. Its description in RNAcentral is "partial 16S ribosomal RNA". It matches the Rfam family "Bacterial small subunit ribosomal RNA", at positions 1451 to 1533 of the family's 1533-position model. Lineage: Bacteria; Pseudomonadati; Pseudomonadota; Betaproteobacteria; Burkholderiales; Burkholderiaceae. RNAcentral also lists the same sequence under 9 other names. The record is from RNAcentral.